This 258-nucleotide ribosomal RNA is filed under the name uncultured bacterium. RNAcentral's name for it is "partial 16S ribosomal RNA". It matches the Rfam family "Bacterial small subunit ribosomal RNA", at positions 96 to 354 of the family's 1533-position model. The record is from RNAcentral.
UGGCGGACGGGUGAGUAACGCGUGGAAAACCUGCCGUAUACUGGGGGAUAACACUUAGAAAUAGGUGCUAAUACCGCAUAAGCGCACAGCUUCGCAUGAAGCGGUGUGAAAAACUUUGGUGGUAUACGAUGGUUCCGCGUCUGAUUAGCUAGUUGGUGGGGUAAUGGCCUACCAAGGCAACGAUCAGUAGCCGGCCUGAGAGGGUGAACGGCCACAUUGGGACUGAGACACGGCCCAAACUCCUACGGGAGGCAGCAG